GCUCAGGAUGAACGCUAGCUACAGGCUUAACACAUGCAAGUCGAGGGGUAGCAGGGUAGCAAUACCGCUGACGACCGGCGCACGGGUGAGUAACACGUAUCCAACCUUCCCAUAACUCGGGGAUAGCCUUUCGAAAGAAAGAUUAAUACCCGAUAGUACUUAUAUAAGGCAUCUUAAAUAAGUUAAAGAUUUAUUGGUUAUGGAUGGGGAUGCGUUCCAUUAGAUAGUUGGUGAGGUAACGGCUCACCAAGUCUUCGAUGGAUAGGGGUUCUGAGAGGAAGGUCCCCCACAUUGGUACUGAGACACGGACCAAACUCCUACGGGAGGCAGCAGUGAGGAAUAUUGGUCAAUGGGCGAGAGCCUGAACCAGC
RNAcentral lists this ribosomal RNA (371 nucleotides) under uncultured Bacteroidales bacterium. Its description in RNAcentral is "bacterial SSU rRNA". It matches the Rfam family "Bacterial small subunit ribosomal RNA", at positions 22 to 392 of the family's 1533-position model. Lineage: Bacteria; Pseudomonadati; Bacteroidota; Bacteroidia; Bacteroidales. The record is from RNAcentral.